Molecule: long non-coding RNA, 327 nt
Organism: Hibiscus syriacus
Lineage: Eukaryota; Viridiplantae; Streptophyta; Magnoliopsida; Malvales; Malvaceae
Exons: 4
Source: RefSeq, a predicted model, not a curated record
CAUUGUAGAAUGGUGGUGUUAUUGCUCCUGCAAGACCACUGGCAUCUUAACCUCUGGGUUUUGGACAGAAACAUGAUGCUAUUGUAGAUAUACCUCUGGAUACAAUGGAUGAUUCCAAGAAAAGAUAAAAGGAGCUUGCUGCUUGGGAGGCUGAUCUUAAGAGGAGGGAAAAGGAUAUAAAACGAAGGGAAGAUGUUGUUUCCCAAUCUGGUGUUUCCACAGAUGAUAAAAAUUGGCCGCCAAUUUUCCCAAUUAUAUAUCAUGAUAUAGCUAAUGAGAUACUGGUUCAUGCUCAGAGGCUGCAAUAUAUUGCAUUCGCAAGUUGGC